AUACUUACCUGGCAGGGGAGACACCAUGAUCAAGUAGGUGGUUCACCCAUUGCGAGGCUCGGCCAUUGCACUUCCGGCCGUGCUGACCAGUGUGAAUUCCCCAAAUGUGGGAAUCUCAACUGCAUAAUUUAUGGUAGUGGGGGACUGCGUUCGCGCUCUCCCCUG
Seriola dumerili (greater amberjack) is the source of this 165-nucleotide small nuclear RNA. Its record names the gene U1. It matches the Rfam family "U1 spliceosomal RNA". From Rfam's summary of the family: U1 is a small nuclear RNA (snRNA) component of the spliceosome (involved in pre-mRNA splicing). Its 5' end forms complementary base pairs with the 5' splice junction, thus defining the 5' donor site of an intron. There are significant differences in sequence and secondary structure between metazoan and yeast U1 snRNAs, the latter being much longer (568 nucleotides as compared to 164 nucleotides in human). The record is from Ensembl. Lineage: Eukaryota; Metazoa; Chordata; Actinopteri; Carangiformes; Carangidae.